Dreissena polymorpha is the source of this 1760-nucleotide long non-coding RNA. RefSeq lists it as uncharacterized. The transcript has 3 exons. NCBI's taxonomy places the organism in Eukaryota, Metazoa, Mollusca, Bivalvia, Myida, Dreissenidae. The record is from RefSeq and is a predicted model, not a curated record.
AAUGAAGUUUAUGUAAUUUCACAAACAGUAGAGUUAAUGAGUUUUUCCAUUAACAAGAAUUUCUUAAAAUAAUAAUGUAUGGAUAUCAUUUGGAAAGUGACAUGAAAUGUUGUUAAAAAGUGAUGCAUACAAGUGUUUCAGAAGUCUGUCUAGGAAUAGAACAACAACUGAAGCUCAGACCAGUUGAUGGAAGAUACUGCAGAGUUUGGCAGGGAAAUAACCCAAGACAGCAAAGCGGCUCUUUUGGCGCAUUUACCAAGAGGACUAACAUGGCCACAAAUUCAUGAGAUCAUGCAGGAGCCGUACAGUAUAACAGCAGUACAAGUUCUAUAAAAGAUCCACGACCUACUGAAGCCCAGCUAAUUAACUAAAAAGUUUUUAAAAACUGUAAUUUUAUCCCACCUGGGUACUUAUAAUUUACUAAGCUGCCUACACAAGUUUUAGACUUGCAAUUACAUUUUAAAUUGUCACUUGGAAAGUAAUACAUGUACAUGCAUUAUGUUCUGAAUUUCUUUGAACAAUAAAAUUAUAUAAAAGUAUUUUAAUUAAAUUAAGCACCUAAAUUGCAUUAAAGUGAAAGUAGCUGAGAACAAGAUGUGUUUGUGAAACACAAUGUCCCCCUAUAUGACGUUUGACCUUGAAGGAUGACCUUGACCUUGACCCUUUACCACUCAAAAUGUGCAACUCCAUAAGAUACACAUGCAUGUCAAAUAUAAAAUUGCUAGCUUUAAUAUUGCAGAAGUUACAUUACAUGAGCAAUUUUGACCCAUAUAUUUGACCUAGAAGGAUUACCUUGACCUUGACCUUUCACCACUCAAAAUGUGCAGCUCCAUAAGUUACACAUGCAUGCCAAAUAUUAAGUUGCUAUCUUCAAUAUUGCAAAAGUUUUCAUAAAAUAAGCGAUUUGGGCCACAUAUAUUUGACCUCUGACCUUGAAGGUUGACCUUGACCUUUCACCACUCAAAAUGUGCAGCUCCAUAAGUUACACAUGCAUGCAAAAUAUCAAGUUGCUAUCUUCAAUAUUGCAAAAGUAUUCAUAAAAUAAGCGAUUUGGGCCACAUAUAUUUGAACUCUGACCUUGAAGGAUGACCUUGACCUUUCACCACUCAAAAUGUGCAGCUCCAUGAGAUACACAUGCAUGCCAAAUAUCAAGUUGCUAUCUUCAAUAUUGCAAAAGUAUUCAUAAAAUAAGCGAUUUGGGCCACAUAUAUUUGACCUCUGACCUUGAAGGAUGACCUUGACCUUGACCUUUCACCACUCAAAAUGUGCAGCUCCAUGAGAUACACAUGCAUGCCAAAUAUCAAGUUGCUAUAUUCAAUAUAGCAAAAGUUAUUGCAAAAUGUUAAAAGUUGGCGCAAACCAACCAACCAACCAACAGACCAACCAACCAACAGACCAACCAACAGACAGGGCAAAAACAAUAUGUCCCCCACUACUAUAGUGGGGGACAUAAAAAUAGUAUCCUUGUGCUCAUGGGCAGCUACAUAUAUUGUGACAUACAUGAAGCAGCUAAAAUAACUUAAAUUUUUCAUUUUGUUUCUUGUAUAUCGUUUGUACAGGGUUCGUGAAUUGUUACUGUAUAUUACUUGACUUGCUUGUAUUUUGUUACUUUGAAUACAUGUUGUGAAGGUUGCAUUAUACUUUUUAACUUUUAAAGUAGCGCCUGUUCUGUUAUGUAAUGGCCUGAUUUAUGAUAAUGGACCUAGAGGCUUUGUAAGCAUGUAUUAAACAACACUUGUUUGAUCUGAAUAAUUUGUUGA